GGCAGCCCCCACCUCACACUGCUGCUCAGAGCCAAAGGAGUGCUUCAUCUUGCCUCAAGGCCCAUCUGGCUUGUUCCUGAGGGCCACGGCUGAAAGUCAAACUAUGGCCUGGAAAGCUCUUCCUUUUCUUCCACCCUUUCUCUAUAAACAGCCCUUCCUCCUUGCAGGUCCAUAGACCCAGCAAGAACAGGACUCCCCUACCCUCAGGCCAGUCAGUAGAGGGAACAGGGUAGAGCCGCAAACAGUCUCCAGGGUCUAUUCCAAUUCCAAGGGAGGAAUUGGUUCUAAGACGAUAGAAGCACUGAGGCUCAGAAAAGUUGGAACUUUUGUAGAACAGUGAUCCAUCAGCCCACCCCACCCCCGACCCCACUUCUGUAUGCAAAGCAUUCUCAACGCUAUGUUCCAAAACACUCUGCACCAAACGGACUGGAUUAAGGGGAGGGAGGGAUGAGAGCUGGGGAGACUCCUGACUGUGACCUGGUUUUGGGAUUUCCGUGAGCUCACAGUCCUCAGCUGGCCUUAUCUCCAGAGUGUCCAGACCACCUUCGAGCUGUGUCCCCAACCUCUGCAUGACCUCCUGCCUGGGAUUCCUGGGACCAGUCCCUGUUGGGGCUGCCUCUCCCUACGACCCAUUCCUCUGGCAGCCACUAAUUAAAUGUUGGUAUGGAGAAACCAUCCUGAGCUCGGUUUUCAAAAGUUUAAAAGCGUUUCUCCUUGCCAAAUCUCUCCUUCUGGGGUUCAGAACACAAAUCCUUAAACCUCACAUGAGGGAGGUUAUUUGUUAGGUCCAAGCAACACAGAUGCUGUGACUUUUGCAGCCCUCCUUGGGGGGAGGGGAGGGGUCUCUUCUGUUGGUAAAGGGAAUGGUGGCCAUGGGGCGGGGCCUGGGGCACGGGUGAGGAAGGAAGACAGCCAGAGACCUACACACAUCCACUGUUUCCUCCAGCGAAACAAGGUUCACAACCCCAGGCUGGAGAAUUAUUGGAGUGAAUCAAGUCAUUCUUAAAGAAUGGAACUUGCCUGGUGAGGAAAACAACCUAGAAUCAUUAACCCAGAGCCUCGGAGAAGACUGGGAGCUGCAGGGGGACAGAAUUAAUGGUUUACUCUUAACCAGCUUUCCCCUGGAUUCAAGGUGGGGAAAUUACAAAAAGAUCACAUCACAUUCUUUUCAUCCCGUGAUUCCACCCAGGCAAGUGCAGGUAAACACUGGUCUGGAAGAAGAAAAUGCAAUAAAGACAUCUGCACAGAACUUA
Long non-coding RNA from Leopardus geoffroyi (Geoffroy's cat), 1253 nucleotides. RefSeq lists it as uncharacterized. The transcript has 2 exons. The record is from RefSeq and is a predicted model, not a curated record. Lineage: Eukaryota; Metazoa; Chordata; Mammalia; Carnivora; Felidae.